Molecule: ribosomal RNA, 497 nt
Filed under: uncultured bacterium
Lineage: Bacteria
Description: partial 16S ribosomal RNA
Rfam family: Bacterial small subunit ribosomal RNA
Source: RNAcentral
GAUGAACGCUGGCGGCGUGCCUAAUACAUGCAAGUCGAGCGAACGGACGAGAAGCUUGCUUCUCUGAUGUUAGCGGCGGACGUGUGAGUAACACGUGGAUAACCUACCUAUAAGACUGGGAUAACUUCGGGAAACCGGAGCUAAUACCGGAUAAUAUUUUGAACCGCAUGGUUCAAAAGUGAAAGACGGUCUUGCUGUCACUUAUAGAUGGAUCCGCGCUGCAUUAGCUAGUUGGUAAGGUAACGGCUUACCAAGGCAACGAUGCAUAGCCGACCUGAGAGGGUGAUCGGACACACUGGAACUGAGACACGGUCCAGACGACUACGGGAGGCAGCAGUAGGGAAUCUUCCGCAAUGGGCGAAAGCAUGACGGAGCAACGCCGCGUGAGUGAUGAAGGUCUUCGGAUCGUAAAACUCUGUUAUUAGGGAAGAACAUAUGUGUAAGUAACUGUGCACAUCUUGACGGUACCUAAUCAGAAAGCCACGGCUAACUACGUG